AUUUUUGUGGUGUAAUUUGCACGAAAGAUUUUCAAUUUUUAGGAAUAAUAAUUAUUAUAUAUAUUAUCAAAAGUA
This 75-nucleotide transfer RNA is filed under the name Octopus vulgaris (common octopus). RNAcentral's name for it is "tRNA-Glu". Lineage: Eukaryota; Metazoa; Mollusca; Cephalopoda; Octopoda; Octopodidae. The record is from RNAcentral.